UGGCGGACGGGUGAGUAACACGUAGGAAUCUGCCCUGUAGUGGGGGAUAGCCCGGGGAAACUCGGAUUAAUACCGCAUACGCUCUACGGAGGAAAGCGGGGGAUCUUCGGACCUCGCGCUAUAGGAUGAGCCUACAUCAGAUUAGCUUGUUGGUAGGGUAACGGCCUACCAAGGCAACGAUCUGUAGCUGGUCUGAGAGGAUGAUCAGCCACACUGGGACUGAGACACGGCCCAGACUCCUACGGGAGGCAGCAGUGGGGAAUAUUGGACAAUGGGCGCAAGCCUGAUCCAGCAAUGCCGCGUGUGUGAAGAAGGCCUGCGGGUUGUAAAGCACUUUUAUGAGGAAAGAAAAGCUUAGGGUUAAUACCCCUGAGUAUUGACGGUACCUCAGGAAUAAGCACCGGCUAACUCCGUGCCGGCAGCCGCGGUAAU
This 432-nucleotide ribosomal RNA is filed under the name uncultured bacterium. RNAcentral's name for it is "bacterial SSU rRNA". It matches the Rfam family "Bacterial small subunit ribosomal RNA", at positions 96 to 524 of the family's 1533-position model. The record is from RNAcentral.